AUUGAACGCUGGCGGCAGGCCUAACACAUGCAAGUCGAACGGUAACAGGAAGAAGCUUGCUUCUUUGCUGACGAGUGGCGGACGGGUGAGUAAUGUCUGGGAAACUGCCUGAUGGAGGGGGAUAACUACUGGAAACGGUAGCUAAUACCGCAUAACGUCGCAAGACCAAAGAGGGGGACCUUCGGGCCUCUUGCCAUCGGAUGUGCCCAGAUGGGAUUAGCUAGUAGGUGGGGUAACGGCUCACCUAGGCGACGAUCCCUAGCUGGUCUGAGAGGAUGACCAGCCACACUGGAACUGAGACACGGUCCAGACUCCUACGGGAGGCAGCAGUGGGGAAUAUUGCACAAUGGGCGCAAGCCUGAUGCAGCCAUGCCGCGUGUAUGAAGAAGGCCUUCGGGUUGUAAAGUGCUUUCAGCGGGGAGGAAGGGAGUAAAGUUAAUACCUUUGCUCAUUGACGUUACCCGCAGAAGAAGCACCGGCUAACCCCGUG
Molecule: ribosomal RNA, 490 nt
Filed under: uncultured bacterium
Lineage: Bacteria
Description: partial 16S ribosomal RNA
Rfam family: Bacterial small subunit ribosomal RNA
Source: RNAcentral